GGGUAAUACAAUUGUGUUUCAUAAUUAAUUUUAACUUUGGAGAUAAUACUAAAAACAAGAUCAGUAGAGAAACAAAUUCAUGUGGUGAUGGGAAAAUUACAUAGCUCUGGAGAUUACCAAUUUAAACAAGGGCUGUGGAAUUUUAUUUUGGGCCCCAACACUAUGGUAAUUAUUCACAAACUCCGAAAGUAGUCAUCAGUUGUGGAAAAUUUCAGUGUAUGCAUAUGCCACGCAAUGAGCAACUGUCGUGCUCAACCUCACCCGGAGAGUAGCUUCACAAUGAUAAUGGUGAUGUUUAGAAUUAUAAGUGGUAGUCUCAUAAACUGGCAAGCAUGUAUGAGUCCAAUGAUCUGCCCCUUGAUUGUAUCUCUUUUCCCCCGCUGGAGAUCUGCCAGCGUCAAUCCCCUUGGAGCAAGGAACCUGUCUUCAUUCAAUAUUGCUAAUCCAUUUGCAAAAAGCAGAAGACCUUCCAUGAGAGUCCAGAAACCCAUUUUCAGAGACAAGAAGCAGCAAGCAGUUUAGAUGAAGCUAAACUCUUUAGUAUUAGCUCUGUUUUCGACAACCUAGAAGGUAUCGAAUCCGUACAAGA
This 589-nucleotide unclassified non-coding RNA is filed under the name Hevea brasiliensis (rubber tree). The record is from RNAcentral. Lineage: Eukaryota; Viridiplantae; Streptophyta; Magnoliopsida; Malpighiales; Euphorbiaceae.